Molecule: ribosomal RNA, 468 nt
Filed under: uncultured bacterium
Lineage: Bacteria
Description: partial 16S ribosomal RNA
Rfam family: Bacterial small subunit ribosomal RNA
Source: RNAcentral
GACGAACGCUGGCGGCGUGCUUAACACAUGCAAGUCGAACGGAAAGGCCCUGCUUUUGUGGGGUGCUCGAGUGGCGAACGGGUGAGUAACACGUGAGUAACCUGCCCUUGACUUUGGGAUAACUUCAGGAAACUGGGGCUAAUACCGGAUAGGAGCUCCUGCUGCAUGGUGGGUGUUGGAAAGUUUCGGCGGUUGGGGAUGGACUCGCGGCUUAUCAGCUUGUUGGUGGGGUAGUGGCUUACCAAGGCUUUGACGGGUAGCCGGCCUGAGAGGGUGACCGGCCACAUUGGGACUGAGAUACGGCCCAGACUCCUACGGGAGGAAGCAGUGGGGAAUAUUGCACAAUGGGCGGAAGCCUGAUGCAGCAACGCCGCGUGCGGGAUGACGGCCUUCGGGUUGUAAACCGCUUUCGCCUGUGACGAAGCGUGAGUGACGGUAAUGGGUAAAGAAGCACCGGCUAAUUACGUG